UGAUUGUGUUUAAUUCCCCAUACCACACUGCCUUGCAUUUCCCAUUGACUUUAAUGUUUUGCAGAUAUCGAUAAUCAUGAUGACAGCUGCAGAGGUGAGAUCAUGUUGGUACUGGAAUCAAGAAGACCUGGAUUCACAUCCUACUUACCAUCUUUUCUGUUUUGGUGAAUUUGGACCCUAAAUUGAUGCUCAAGGACACGUGAAGAGGAGCCAAGUCACUUUUUGUGAUGAAU
Molecule: long non-coding RNA, 233 nt
Filed under: Monodelphis domestica (gray short-tailed opossum)
Lineage: Eukaryota; Metazoa; Chordata; Mammalia; Didelphimorphia; Didelphidae
Description: lncRNA (ENSMODG00000036786.1)
Source: RNAcentral